RNAcentral lists this ribosomal RNA (253 nucleotides) under uncultured bacterium. RNAcentral's name for it is "partial 16S ribosomal RNA". It matches the Rfam family "Bacterial small subunit ribosomal RNA", at positions 524 to 776 of the family's 1533-position model. The record is from RNAcentral.
UACAGAGGGGGCAAGCGUUGUUCGGAAUUACUGGGCGUAAAGGGCGCGUAGGCGGCCCGCUAAGUCGAACGUGAAAUCCCCGAGCUCAACUCGGGAACUGCGUCCGAUACUGGCGGGCUUGAAUCCGGGAGAGGGAUGCGGAAUUCCAGGUGUAGCGGUGAAAUGCGUAGAUAUCAGGAGGAACACCAAUGGCGAAGGCAGCUCGCUGGGACGGUACUGACGCUAAGGCGCGAAAGCGUGGGGAGCGAACAGG